This 1129-nucleotide small RNA is filed under the name Kwoniella pini. RNAcentral's name for it is "eukaryotic LSU rRNA". The stretch from base 488 to 1129 matches the Rfam family "Eukaryotic large subunit ribosomal RNA", at positions 1 to 638 of the family's 3401-position model. Lineage: Eukaryota; Fungi; Basidiomycota; Tremellomycetes; Tremellales; Cryptococcaceae. The record is from RNAcentral.
CUGGAUCUUCGGAUCCGAUCUACCCCACACACACCUGUGAACCGUUUAUAUGUCUGACGGCUUCGGCCCGAAGGCUACUUUACAAAACAUCUGUAACAAGUCAUGAACGUCAUUAGUUAUAUUUUAACAAAAAUAAAACUUUCAACAACGGAUCUCUUGGCUCCCACAUCGAUGAAGAACGCAGCGAAAUGCGAUAAGUAAUGUGAAUUGCAGAAUCAGUGAAUCAUCGAGUCUUUGAACGCACCUUGCGCCCUUUGGUAUUCCGAAGGGCAUGCCUGUUUGAGUGUCAUGAAAACCUCAAUCCCUCCGGUUUUUUAACGAACCGGUUGGACUUGGAUUUGGGUGUUGCCGCGGCUCGCGCCGUUCGGCUCGCCUUAAAAGUGUUAGUGAGACGGUGGAUAACCUGUCAGCCUGGCGUAAUAAGUUUCGCUGGGCCCUUGGGGUCUUCCUCUUCGGCUUGCUCAUAACAACCAACUUUCUAUGACUCUGACCUCAAAUCAGGUAGGGCUACCCGCUGAACUUAAGCAUAUCAAUAAGCGGAGGAAAAGAAACUAACAAGGAUUCCCCUAGUAACGGCGAGUGAACCGGGAAGAGCUCAAAUUUGAAAUCUGGCGUCCUCAGGGCGUCCGAGUUGUAAUCUAUAGAGGCGUUUUCCGCGCCGGACCGUGUAUAAGUCUCCUGGAACGGAGUAUCAAAGAGGGUGACAAUCCCGUGCUUUACACGACGACCGGUGCUAUGUGAUACGUCUUCUACGAGUCGAGUUGUUUGGGAAUGCAGCUCAAAACGGGUGGUAAACUCCAUCUAAAGCUAAAUAUUGGUGGGAGACCGAUAGCGAACAAGUACCGUGAGGGAAAGAUGAAAAGCACUUUGGAAAGAGAGUUAAACAGUAUGUGAAAUUGUUGAAAGGGAAACGAUUGAAGUCAGUCGUGUCCAUUGGGUUCAGCCGGUCCUGCCGGUCUACUCCCUUUGGACGGGUCAACAUCAGUUCUGACCGGUGGAUAAUGGCACGAGGAACGUAGCACCCUCCGGGGUGUGUUAUAGCCUCGCGUCGCAUACACUGGUCGGGACUGAGGAACGCAGCUCGCCCUCACGGGCCGGGGUUCGCCCACGUCCGAGCUUAGGAUGUGAC